Labrus bergylta (ballan wrasse) is the source of this 117-nucleotide ribosomal RNA. Lineage: Eukaryota; Metazoa; Chordata; Actinopteri; Labriformes; Labridae. The record is from Ensembl.
GCUUACGGCCAUACCACCCUGAACACGCGAUCUCGUCCGAUCUCGGAAGCUAAGCAGGGUCGGGCCUGGUUAGUACUUGGAUGGGAGACCGCCUGGGAAUACCAGGUGCUGUAAGCU